This 65-nucleotide transfer RNA is filed under the name Dipodomys ordii (Ord's kangaroo rat). It matches the Rfam family "tRNA". Rfam says of the family: Transfer RNA (tRNA) molecules are approximately 80 nucleotides in length. Their secondary structure includes four short double-helical elements and three loops (D, anti-codon, and T loops). Further hydrogen bonds mediate the characteristic L-shaped molecular structure. tRNAs have two regions of fundamental functional importance: the anti-codon, which is responsible for specific mRNA codon recognition, and the 3' end, to which the tRNAs corresponding amino acid is attached (by aminoacyl-tRNA synthetases). tRNAs cope with the degeneracy of the genetic code in two manners: having more than one tRNA (with a specific anti-codon) for a particular amino acid; and 'wobble' base-pairing, i.e. permitting non-standard base-pairing at the 3rd anti-codon position. The record is from Rfam by way of RNAcentral. Lineage: Eukaryota; Metazoa; Chordata; Mammalia; Rodentia; Heteromyidae.
GGUGGCUCAGUGGUAGAGUGCUUGCCUUGCACGCCUGAGGCCCUGGGUUUGAUUCCCCAGCACCA